UCAUCUUUCUUUUGUAUUGAUUGAACUAUGUGUGUGGUCACAAGUUUACUCUCAUCAAAUUUCUAUUUUCAGUGAUCAUGUUACUCUAAGCUCAGUCGUAUCUUAAAAGGAAAUGGAACACUUGUUGGAUAUUUUCUAUUGGUGGUGCAUACUUUUGCUUAUGUUAUAACCUGAUAAUCUUGACCUGACUCGGUGAACAUGUAUUUUCAUCUCUACUUUGUCUUAUCCUUCCACUGAAGUCAUUGUUUGAAGACUUGUCUGGCUUUUAGUUCUGAGAGUUCUAGUUAUCUCACUCAAAUGGGUGCUCAGUAUCAUCAUGUUAUCUGAUUCAAAUCGAUGCUCAGUACUAUCAUGUUAUCUACUUUGGUUAUUGAUAAUUUGAAUUCAAAGUGUCGAUUACACACUUAACUAAAAAUUCUUGUAACUGUUUUGAUAAUUGUUGGGUGCAUUCAUGUCUUGUAUCAUAUACAUUGCUGGGCGCUUACUGCUCGUUAUGCUUUGCCAGGGUGAUGCUGAUGGCUCCCUGGACAGGCUGUGGCAGAAGAGGAAGGCUGAGAUCAAGCAGCUCUAGAUGUUGCUACUAGUUUUACCUGGAACUUGUUUCCUUCCCAUGUCUACCUAGCUCUUGGAUGUCUGUGGUUAGUUUCAGUUGCUACUAUGGAAGCUAAGACUUGAUGUCACUAGGCCUGGUUUCUUGUGAACAUGUUUUGAGUUUAAUCUGUGUUGAAUGCUUGAUAUGUGUACCUUAUCUCGUUGCUUAAUGUCAUACUGAUGAUUUGGCCCUUACUUUACUAGCAAAUUAUGGCCAUACUGAUGAUUUGGCCCUUACUUUACUAGCAACUUUAUUCGUACUUCAAAAUGCAUGUACUCUGCAGCACAAGUAAGCGCACAUUUUGCUAUGCAAAAGACAUCAGACGCUGCACUUAGGCCUAUCUUAUUCCAUCACACUAUUUCUAUUAUUCUGGCUGACGAUUAAUGCUGCAAUUAUUAAUACGGAUACGGGCUUAGUUAAUUUGCUGGUAAACGGCUUGCGAAGAAACUCUCGUGCUAUCUUGCCGUUUGCUCCUUCCGGGUAGAAGCCACCAGGGAUCAUGCUCGUUGCCGGUGGGGUAGAGGAUCCUGAGCAACUCGGCCGGUGUCCGGGCGUAGGAGAGGGUGUCGCUGUCGGCGGAGAGCACGUAGGUGCAGAUCUUGCCCUCUGCGCUGAGCUCGGGCGGCACGGUGAGCCCCUCGUCCUUGAGGAUCUUUGGCCUAGGGAAAAGUAACCCACCCACCGUGUUCUGGAUGGCCCUGCAACCAAAGUGAAGCUAGAUUGAGAGCAGGUGAAAACGGCAGUGUGGCUUCGUAAUUUCCCCCCGGAAAUUGCUGCCAUGAACUUUGAUUGUAUCUCUAUUUUGUUAGCUAAUAUAAAUACUCUUUCCCCGCAAAAAAAAAA
Molecule: long non-coding RNA, 1435 nt
Filed under: Triticum aestivum (bread wheat)
Lineage: Eukaryota; Viridiplantae; Streptophyta; Magnoliopsida; Poales; Poaceae
Description: long non-coding RNA (TAES_LNC003180)
Source: RNAcentral